This is a non-coding RNA of Melanomma pulvis-pyrius CBS 109.77, 73 nucleotides long. NCBI's taxonomy places the organism in Eukaryota, Fungi, Ascomycota, Dothideomycetes, Pleosporales, Melanommataceae. The record is from the annotation of a GenBank genome assembly.
AGUCUCGUGGUGUAGUGGCUAUCACGUUCGCCUCACACGCGAAAGGUCCUGGGUUCGAUCCCCAGCGGGACUA